This is a non-coding RNA of Procambarus clarkii (red swamp crayfish), 2903 nucleotides long. The record is from RefSeq and is a predicted model, not a curated record. Lineage: Eukaryota; Metazoa; Arthropoda; Malacostraca; Decapoda; Cambaridae.
GAUGAUUCUCACAUAUUUAUCAGUGUAUUAGAAUGAUUGAGAUUGCUGCUGCUGGAACCCACAGAUCCCAGACAUCUUCAAACACAAUAAUUACAAGGGCCCCUCUUCACCCUCAGGUCAAACUAUUUUCUGAGUUAAACUUCUUCAGACAUUGCUUAUCCAGGCCUGAGUGUAGAGUUAUCCCCUCAUUGAUAAACCUGCAGUUACCCGUUACUCUUUCUCAUACACUAGCUUCACUUACUAUGAAUGACAAUUGCUGGUUAUCACCUCUGAUGGUUCCCUCCGUCGUCAUACGUGGCUCCUCAUCAAAGAUUAUGUUAAGGCAAAUACUAGCCACCUUACCGUCAUAUGUUGCUUUCACUCUAACGUAAUAAAUGAAGAAUGAACAUAGCAUAUUAAGGCUGAACAUGAUGAAGAACAUAUAACAUGCUAAGACUGAACAUUAUUAAGAACAUAAUUACAUGUUAAGGCUGAAUAUGAUAGAAGAACAUGUAACUUGCUAAGGCUGAACAUGAUAGAAGAGAACAUAACAUAUUAAUGCUGAAGAUUAUAAUAAGCCACAAAAAAAAUCUAAUUAAUGCUUUCUUCUCUUAAAUCACGUGUCGUCACUCUGAUUCAUACUAGACAAGUUUAUAUUCUGAAAAUACAUAGGUAAAUAUUGUUUUGGAAAUAGGAGUUAAUGAUGUGAUUACCAGAUAACAUGAACGUUGGAAUGCAGGAUUGUUGCGAGCGAAGGUUAGACAUACAUAUGAAUAAGUUUUAUUCAAUAUGAAUAUGCAUGGGCAAUAGUUCUUCUGGAGUUUUAAUUAUCUAUAUGAAUCAAAGUACAACAAUAAUGUCACCUUGAUGCUAUAGUUGCAGGUUAGUACAGUGACUGGUGUUGUGUAGAAAAUAUGCACGUCAUAUAUAAAUGAGAUUAAUGAAACCCUCCUGCUUUUGUAUCAAUAUAUAAUGGUCAGCUAACAAUUGUGAGGUUCAAGAACUAUCUUAUGAUGUUAUAAGUAUGUAGUCAACACAUGUUUGCUUCAGUCUCAAGACGUUUUGUUCAAAUAACAACUGGUGUGAUGCAUAAUAUCUUUAUUAGUAAUAUUGUUUAACUAACAUUGUCAACUCUUUGUUUUCCUUGUCUAGAGCUUGUGUGACCAUAUAGCAACUUGGUUGAUAGAGGAUAUCCUCAGUGAUCAUCUUGUUUAUCUGACAAUGACAACAAAAAAUGCUCUCCUCUCAGGCAGGACAGCCCUUCUCAGGGCAGCCGAAGGUGGUCACGACAACACUGUGAAGAUCCUCCUCGACGCUGGAGCAGAUGUCAACGCUGCAGGUUAUAAAGAUAUGAUGAUGAAUAAGGUCGUAUUCGAAACGUCAUGGCUUUGACUCAAAAGUAAAGAAGAGUUUUUACAAGAUGUUUGUUUUAUCUCUGGUUUUCCUUUAUAUUUUGAGAAUUAGAUUCCCGAAGGGAACUUCUAUCGUAAAUAUAUUAUAAUUUGUUUAUUUAUUCAAUUUUCUUAAAUGAAAAGCAAGUUCCUUUAAGGAAUACGCAGGCUCAAUGGAUGAACUUAACUUGUUCUUCUCUGGAUGGGAAUUAACUUGGAUUUAAGGUUAUUUACCUUUGACAAAAUGUUGCCUCUACAAAUCUUCUUCUUGAGCACAUAUGGAUCUUCAUGCCAACUGUAUUUGUAGAAAAUCUAUUUUCCUUACUUUGUUAAGAAAAGACAAUUUCUUUCGUUUGUCAGCACCUCAGAAAAAUAUUACAUUUGGACAUUGCAUAUGUCCAUAGAUUACAAGAUAAUGUAUCAAAUCAAUUCCCUCUAUAGUGACAGGAAAGUUACCAAGUCUUCCACUCACGAGUGCCCAUAAAUAUCAACCCAUAAUCUCAGUACACAAAUUCAGUAUUGUUAUAGAUGUGCAGGGAUGGACUGCUGAUUAAUUGCAGUUUUUGAGACUGUAAGAUCGAUUUACUCUUCAGUCAAUACUCAGUUUCAGUUCUGGUACUUUCUAUUCCAAUUCAAUUAACAAUUAUGAACACAAACAUGGGUAAGUGGUCUUUGAUGACUUACUAUAGCAAAAGAGAUGGUGGAGUGGCAUAGACGUCAACUUCGAGUGUAGUGGCGAGGACAGGGUGAGUGACUAUGAGGUGGGUGAGUCUUUAGAUGCGCUGCGUUUCUCUGGUCUGGAUCCGACAUGACAGUGUUAUCUGCUAAAAUAUGACUGGUUCUACACACCCCGUCAUUCUCUGAAAUGUAUAAGGAGGACAACGUAGUCUUCCUGCAAAAGGUCUGCCAAGCUCUGUACUCUUGUAUGUAAUUUUAUGCAAGAAAUAUAACUGAAAAUUCUAUAAUGUUGGUGAUUUCUUGAAUUUCACUGAAUGUUAGGUUUAUAGAUUUUAUUUGAUUUCCUAAGAAUGAUUAAAAUUAAAAGAUGUAUUACUAAAUAAAAAGAACGAUAGCAACAUUUUAGCUGUUUAGAGUGAUAGUAAUCAUAUCCAGUUGCCACUAAGUAAACUGUAGUCGUCUUCGUGCUAUAGUGACCUGUAUGGGAUGUCUCCGUGUUCUCUAGGUGGCUCACAUUUAGGGAGACGCAGCAGGAAUUGUGCUGCCUUCAUUUUACCUGCUGGAUGAAAUAAAUUUCAGUACUUUAUGGUAAAAUAAAAUAUAUGUAUAACCCAGCAUGCACUGAUAAUUAAUAUAAAAUAUUAGUUUUAGCUUUUGUUUUUAAUUCUGGUAUUUUUUACACAUGAAUGAUAAUAUCAACAAUGACAACACUUAAUAUUUUAUCGUUGUGAAUUUAUCUAUUGCAUAAUGUAUAUUUGUAUUUAUCUCUAAACCAUUGCACUAUAUUUCAAAUAUUUAUUUGCUAAACAUUGGAUAACCUAGUUAGUUAUAUUUAAUUAUGUGACAAGUAAUUGA